AUCCAGCUGACGAGUCUCAAAUGGGACGAAACACCUGUCCUGGAU
Non-coding RNA from Schistosoma mansoni, 45 nucleotides. The record is from Rfam. NCBI's taxonomy places the organism in Eukaryota, Metazoa, Platyhelminthes, Trematoda, Strigeidida, Schistosomatidae.